AUUGAACGCUGGCGGCAGGCCUAACACAUGCAAGUCGAACGAGUGGCGGACGGGUGAGUAAUGUCUGGGAAACUGCCCGAUGGAGGGGGAUAACUACUGGAAACGGUAGCUAAUUCCGCAUACCCUCGGAUGUGCCCAGAUGGGAUUAGCUAGUGGGGGGGGUAACGGCUCACCUAGGCGACGAUCCCUAGCUGGUCUGAGAGGAUGACCAGCCACACUGGAACUGAGACAGGGUCCAGACUCCUACGGGAGGAAGCAGUGGGGAAUAUUGCACAUGGGGCGAAAGCCUGAUGCAGCCAUGCCGGGUGUAUGAAGAGGGCCUUCGGGUUGUAAAGUACUUUCAGCGAGGAGGCGUUACUCGAAGAGGAAGCACCGGCUAACUCCGUGCCAGCAGCCGCGGUAAUUC
This 406-nucleotide ribosomal RNA is filed under the name uncultured bacterium. Its description in RNAcentral is "partial 16S ribosomal RNA". It matches the Rfam family "Bacterial small subunit ribosomal RNA", at positions 30 to 526 of the family's 1533-position model. The record is from RNAcentral.